UUGCCCAGCUGUGUCCGAUUUAUUUUCGCCCAGUCGCGUCUAUUUCAGUCCAUGUCUUGCCUUAGUUUUUGUCCGUCAUCGAUGUUAGAUGUCUGUAUCGUCCACCUAUCCUGCCUGUAGCUUCUUUCCCCUAAUAAAUCCCCAGUUUUUCCCGAAUUUUGCCUGCUUCCUGCCCGUUUGCCUGCCCCUUCGCAUUACCCGCUAACCCCGCGAUCCUGACAGUGUUUACCACCAGGGGGCAUGAUGAGGAGAUCCUUCCAGAUACAUCAUCCGGAAUAAGAAGAACAGAGGAUGCUGGAGAAAGAUGGAAAUAUUGGGUGUCUAGUUUGGAAAGCUUCACAGCUUCCAUGAAGGAAGACAGAUUGAAAUAGUUCUCAGAUUUGUUUACUAAUUGCCAUUCAGUAAUUUUCCAAACUAAACCAGUGGUCCUGAGCAUUCAAGGCAGGCAUAGAUAUGGUCAGGUCAAAGUAGGAGCUAAUCGAUAGGCUUGUGGUGAGUCUUGAAGAACAAGGCAGUAAGGUGACACAGAUGACUGAGAGGCUGAGACUAUCCUUCUGCACCCAUGGUCAUGUGAGGGAACUGGCUAAGCGGCUUUUCCAAGGCAGGAGCGAUGGGACACCGCAGAGCAUCCUGCGGCUUUCCAGAGGAGCUGCUUCUGUGUCAGGCUGCAGCUCAGCAUACAUUUACACACAGACACACAGAGGUCAGCUCUGCAUUCACCCCUGCAUAGGUAGCGCCCCCCCCACCUGAAUACAGCCAUAUUCACCAGAGCACAUAUAAAUAUAAAAAAUAUAAACACACCUUUAAAAAGAACAUUCAGCGCUAAUGUGGAUACGCCUGCAUGAAGCUGGUAGCAUUUUUUGCACUUAAAGUAAAUACUUGAACCGAGUUAUAUGAUCAAAGGCUGCAGAUUUGAAUCCCCAACUCAGCAGAAUACUCACAUUGCUGGGACCUUGAGCAAGGCCCUAACCCCCCACCCGCACAUGGACAACCAGGUUUCACUCUUAACUGAAAGUGAAAUCUGUGUAUGUCUCAGCAGUAGGGCACGAUGGGGAAGUGCACGAGGGGAUAGGAGAAAAGAAAUCUUCCGAUAUACCUGUACAUGUGCAAACGAAGCAUCGUUUCACUUUUGUUUCGAUCCAGUCUUUAAAAAAAUCAAGCUAUUUGCUAACUGGAAAGAUUAUGGUUAUUAGUCAUGUUGGGGUGAUGGGAAAAAAUAAUAUAUUGCAGUAUGAUUGAUUAUUUAUGUUUAUCUCAAGUUCACCAUGUGCCAUUCAAUGCACAUAAAAAAAACUGUUAUGCAUCCGGGGAAUGCCGUCAGCAAACUUUAAGAUGGAAAAUUGUGUUUAAGUUUUUUUUUAGCCACAUGCCUAUGAUAUAUUUGGGUUGUAUCCAGGUGACCUAAAUAGUUAAAAAUAAUAGACAUCUGGAAUUAAAUAAUUAAGUAACUUAGUCUGUGUACAAAAUAGGUGUUAUUCCUAGCAUUUGAUGUCAUGACCUUUCAGCCACAGAUGCUUAUCUUACUCAUCUCUACUUGAUGACUUCCUAAUUUCACCCAAUUCCAAAUAAGACAGAGGUCACUGUUUUCCACUUGUGCAUUCACUGGGACCCAUAUAAAAAUAAACGUGAAAACUGACCUGCACAAGCCCAGUUAAUUCAUAAACAAGAUUGUCUAUAAUAAGUGAGCUUGCCCUUCAUUCUGAAUUUUCCAGGCUGAAAAUUCUCCUCCCCCAGGAAAAAUGGGCUUUGUAAGCUUCACCGCAACUUGACUAAUAACCGAACAGCUGGAAGAGGACCAAUACCCUUUCCAGGAUUACAAAAGAACUUUGGAUUCUUUUUGAAGAUUGAAACAAAGCAGUGGAUUGCAGAGUUGUCUCACACCACUGGAGACCAAGAUUCCAGUUUCCACUGCAUCUCCACACGUGUGGAUAUUUUCCCCGGGUCAUUGCGGGGUUUAGGUGUGAACGUUCUGUGUGUCUCUCUUUCUGGGUUAAUCCCUGGCUUGCACCCAUAGCUUCUGGGAUUGGCUCCAGACUCCUGCAGGCCUGCAUCAGACAAACGGGUAUGAAGAAUGGAUGGGGUGACCGGAAAAUUUCACAUGGCAACCCAGUCAGUGUAACUCGAAUCUAACUUAAGAAGCAAACAAGUCACACAGACCCAGCCAACUGUGCCCUAAGUAAUAAAAGGAAGCAGAAGCGGAACAUUUGUGUCCAAUUCCUCAUUGAACAUCAAGAUACAACAUAAACAGAUAAUACACCAUGUGGCCAAAAAAGGUCACUGUUUGAAUUUAAAUCGUGAAGUAAUUAAGAGCCAAUGAAUGGGUCAUUAUUACAGCUCAGCAAUAUUAUGCAGCAAUGAAGUGAAGUCAGCCGAGCACCGGCAUCUCCGGAACGGCCAGGUUAUCCCAUCACUGGCUUUUCUUCCCCCGAUCGCAUGGGCAUAUUCCGGGAGGAUGAUGCCAAGAUUCAUCGGGCUCGAAUUGUCAGAGUGGUUCAGGAAGCGCAAGGAAUCGUUUCCACGCAUGAUCUGACCACCACGGAGUCUUGACCUUAUCACCAUUGAAAGUCUUUGAGAUGUGAUGAAGACCUUAUGGGUUUAAGUGAACGCAAAUCUGAAUGAAAAACAAUUGAGAUGUUGUAUAAGCACGUGGAAACAACGCAUCCAUCCUGGAUCAGCGAUAAAGGUUAUUAUAGUGUUCUGUUACUGUACCUAUUAAUUAGUGUGAGACCACUGCUUCACUGUUAUGAAUGCACAGUAAGAGAGCUGGCACUGGAAUUUUAUCAUACCUUAAACAUUUUAAUGGCAAAUAAGCUUUG
Molecule: long non-coding RNA, 2816 nt
Organism: Brienomyrus brachyistius
Lineage: Eukaryota; Metazoa; Chordata; Actinopteri; Osteoglossiformes; Mormyridae
Exons: 3
Source: RefSeq, a predicted model, not a curated record